AUUGAACGCUGGCGGCAUGCCUUACACAUGCAAGUCGAACGGUAACAGGUUAAGCUGACGAGUGGCGAACGGAUGAGUAAUAUAUCGGAACGUGCCCAGUCGUGGGGGGAUAACUACUCGAAAGAGUAGCUAAUACCGCAUACGACCUGAGGGUGAAAGCGGGGGAUCGCAAGACCUCGCGCGAUUGGAGCGGCCGAUAUCAGAUUAGGUAGUUGGUGGGGUAAAAGCUCACCAAGCCAACGAUCUGUAGCUGGUCUGAGAGGACGACCAGCCACACUGGGACUGAGACACGGCCCAGACUCCUACGGGAGGCAGCAGUGGGGAAUUUUGGACAAUGGGCNCAAGCCUGAUCCAGCCAUGCCGCGUGCGGGAAGAAGGCC
RNAcentral lists this ribosomal RNA (380 nucleotides) under uncultured bacterium. RNAcentral's name for it is "bacterial SSU rRNA". It matches the Rfam family "Bacterial small subunit ribosomal RNA", at positions 30 to 416 of the family's 1533-position model. The record is from RNAcentral.